UACGUAGGGGGCAAGCGUUAAUCGGAAUUACUGGGCGUGAAGCGUGCGCAGGCGGUGAUGUAAGACAGAUGUGAAAUCCCCGGGCUCAACCUGGGAACUGCAUUUGUGACUGCAUCGCUGGAGUGCGGCAGAGGGGGAUGGAAUUCCGCGUGUAGCAGUGAAAUGCGUAGAUAUGCGGAGGAACACCGAUGGCGAAGGCAAUCCCCUGGGCCUGCACUGACGCUCAUGCACGAAAGCGUGGGGAGCAAACAGG
RNAcentral lists this ribosomal RNA (253 nucleotides) under uncultured bacterium. RNAcentral's name for it is "partial 16S ribosomal RNA". It matches the Rfam family "Bacterial small subunit ribosomal RNA", at positions 524 to 776 of the family's 1533-position model. The record is from RNAcentral.